This 1074-nucleotide long non-coding RNA is filed under the name Marmota monax (woodchuck). Lineage: Eukaryota; Metazoa; Chordata; Mammalia; Rodentia; Sciuridae. The record is from RNAcentral.
UCUGUCUGCAGACUGGCCCUCACCACAGGGGCCGUGGAGCCCUGCCCUGUGACCUCCUGAGGCCCUGAGACUGUGGGCCACACCCCACCCCACGAGUUUCCUUCCUGCCGUGGCCAGCCGUGGAGCCCUCACUGACUGACAGCGCCCGUUCCCCUAAAGGGCUGCUGCAGGCCUUGCAGGAGCAGACAAGGAAAAGAAAAAACCAGUCCCCGCCCCAACACACAGCUGAACCCAAGCACAGAGAAGAGCAGAGGGAAGGAGUCCAGGGAAACGCCGGGAGGUGAAUCUAGGCUGCACCGUGACAGCGCAGGAGGAGCAGACAGCACGGUCCCAACAGAAGCCCGCGACUACACCCAGGAGGGUGACAUAUGAACAUGAGCACUUCCAUCAGGUGUCUCAGUGUUCCCGAGAAUUUGUGGGGGUGGGGACAAAGAGGGAGAGAGCAUGCAGGGCUCCUGGGAGGCUCAAGCAAACCUCCAGGCUGCUGUGCCCCAGAAGGCACAGAGGCAGACAAAGAGAAACAAGCCCCUCCCCCAGCACCUCGGGGGUCAAGGACUCAGUCUCCCCACUUCCCACUCCCCUGCCCAACCAGAGGGUAUCAGGCAGGACAGGUUAUGAAGAGCCCCAGGGUGGGAAGCAGCACCAGGGUUCCAGGAAUAAAAAGAGCAGCGAGUAGGGGCCAUGGCAGGCUGAGGCCAAGGGAAAGGCAACUGUGACCACCAACAGAGAGGUGACAGAUGGGGCUUGGAGACUGAAAGCCCAGCAGGCUGCAGAGGGAUGGGGAGGCCUGCACUCAGGAAGGGGACUCUGGUGGUUGAGACCCAGGUGGUGGUGGAGGAGGUAAGUGGGGCCUGACUUCCUCCUGCCACCGGGACUUGACCAUGGCACCUGCCUCGGGCUGCCGCAGGGCUUAGGCUGGUGCUGCCUCAACCCUGGCACCAGCAUGAUGCUGAAGAGGGUUUGGCACAGGUGUGUUGGGCUGCUGAGAGCCAGCCACUGUCGGUGGCCAGCACUGGGAGGCUCUGCAGUGGCUAAGUGGGCAAGUGCCGGCGCUUCUGAAAAUGGCAAAUCAGC